UUUUUGCAGCUCUUAAUUUAGCCGAUUUCGAGUGGCAAUACUUUCUUAGACGUUCUCCUUUUUCGAAACCAUGGCUGCCACACUAUACACUUUCGAAAACAAUUUCCGCUCCCAGAAGAUAUUGAUUGCAGCACAGUAUAGCGGCUUUCCCAUCAAUGUGCCGAAGGAUUUUGUCUUGGGAGAAAGCAACAAAACUGAAGAUUUUCUGAAAAAAUUUCCAAACGGGAAGGUAAAAGAAAAAUUCGUGUCAUCUAUUAUGAAAUAUGUUGAUUACAUAUAAUCGUUUUGUUAAGAUUACAAUCUUUAUAUUUCAAAAUAACAAAAAUCUGUUAAACCUGUGACAAAUAUCUGUGAAAUGUAAAAUUUUCUUAAGAAAAUUUACAAUUUUUAUUGAAUUGUAUUAAACCUUGUAUGUUUUACGUGCA
Long non-coding RNA from Stegodyphus dumicola, 425 nucleotides. Lineage: Eukaryota; Metazoa; Arthropoda; Arachnida; Araneae; Eresidae. The record is from RefSeq and is a predicted model, not a curated record.